Molecule: ribosomal RNA, 390 nt
Filed under: uncultured bacterium
Lineage: Bacteria
Description: bacterial SSU rRNA
Rfam family: Bacterial small subunit ribosomal RNA
Source: RNAcentral
GACGAACGCUGGCGGCGUGCUUAACACAUGCAAGUCGAGCGGUAAGGCCCUUUCGGGGUACGACGAGCGGCGAACGGGUGAGUAACACGUGGGUGACCUGCCCUCAGCUCUGGGAGUAAGCCUCGGGAAACGUGGGUCUAAUACCGGAUAUGACUCCAUGACGCAUGUUGUGGGGUGGAAAGCCUUGUGCGGCUGAGGAUGGCCCGCGGCCUAUCAGCUUGUUGGUGGGGUGANGGCCUACCAAGGCGACGACGGGUAGCCGGCCUGAGAGGGCGACCGGCCACACUGGGACUGAGACACGGCCCAGACUCCUACGGGAGGCAGCAGUGGGGAAUCUUGCGCAAUGGGCGAAAGCCUGACGCAGCGACGCCGCGUGAGGGAUGACGGCCU